This 320-nucleotide unclassified non-coding RNA is filed under the name fungal sp. RNAcentral describes it as "partial internal transcribed spacer region". The stretch from base 1 to 46 matches the Rfam family "Eukaryotic small subunit ribosomal RNA", at positions 1786 to 1831 of the family's 1831-position model. Lineage: Eukaryota; Fungi. The record is from RNAcentral.
AAGUCGUAACAAGGUCUCCGUAGGUGAACCUGCGGAGGGAUCAUUAACACAAUAUACAAAGUAGAUCGUUGACUUCAAAAGUCAACUUUCUCACUUUUGUUAUACCAACUCGUGAACGAAACAUUAUGUAUCUCUCGCUUAGCUUUGUGAUAGAAAGCAUAGCUAAGUUAUUGUUUUGUUGUACUUUCUUUAUACAAACUAAUAUCUUCAACAGUAUAACUUGUACCACAUAGAAUGCAUUCUUAGAGUGUAUUUUUAUGGUGUGUUACUUUUAGUUAACAAAAUAAGCACAACUCUUAGCAACGGAUAUCUCGGUUCUC